Molecule: long non-coding RNA, 430 nt
Organism: Entelurus aequoreus (snake pipefish)
Lineage: Eukaryota; Metazoa; Chordata; Actinopteri; Syngnathiformes; Syngnathidae
Exons: 3
Source: RefSeq, a predicted model, not a curated record
CCCUCAACAAGGGCUCAUAUUAGACGGUGUCAGAGGGUGUGGAGAGCCGCUCGUGCAGCUUUGGAAAGGGCAUCCGAGAGGAUGUGUCGCAACGCAAACCGUCAUCGCAUUCCAGCCCCAUCCUAUAAACCUGGACAACAAGUGAUGCUUCUCACUAAGGACCUCAGUCUCCAGCUGGAGCUGCAGGCACCUCUGCUAACCCCUCUGCUGGCAGCAUGCUCAGACACGCCUCUGCUCGUGCUGAGCACAACACGCCCACACAGCAACAAGCCUGCAAGCAAUCAAUGAUCAACGCACCUGGACUUGACGAGGGGGAGCGGCAUAAAGACCAGCGGACCCGAGGAACCUUUGCCAGAACGUCGCUAACCUUCCAUGACUCCCCUGUCCUCCGUGAUCGUGCCUUGUCACUCGAUACCCAUCCGGAUUCCUG